RNAcentral lists this long non-coding RNA (1097 nucleotides) under Zostera marina. RNAcentral describes it as "long non-coding RNA (ZMAR_LNC005069)". Lineage: Eukaryota; Viridiplantae; Streptophyta; Magnoliopsida; Alismatales; Zosteraceae. The record is from RNAcentral.
CGUGAUGUAAGAGAUGGAGAUGCAGAUACAACAGAAAAUGGUAAUCCAAUCAUAAACCCUACGCAUUCUUCCACCAUGUUCUUCCUCAUGCUCCUCUUCCUGCUGGGCUUCUGAGAACGUCUUCCUCAUUUUCAGAAAAGCCAAUAAAACCCAUGUCAUCGGAAGAACAAAGAACACAAUGCCUAGAAUCUUUGCCGGAUUCUCCAUGGUUUUAACUCCUGAAAAGAAGAAGUUUGAAAAGAAUGAAACAGUGGAUUUGUGGGUUUUGAAAAGAAAAAGAAUACAAGAAGGCACCCGGAUAAAAAAAUGUUGUCUCCCGUUAAAUCCAAAAUCUAUCAUUUCCAAAAAGAAGAAGAUGGUGGUGGUUGACCACAUGCUAUUUUAUGUUUGCUCGUACCAUCUCCAUCUUUUUUUUAAGCAAUUUAUUUUAAUAACAAAAACAGACCAGUGAUUCAGUGAAUCAGUGAAGUCAAUCGGCAAGUAAGCAUGUGGAAGGUAAUGAGAGUUGCAGAGAUGUUUGGACAGGCAAGAAAAACUCCCAGUUAGUUCAGUCAGUACAUUGAAGAGAAUCAAACAAUUGACAGCUAUCACCAGAGAAGGAAGUAACAAGAACAAUUAGAGGCAAAAUAAGUAAAAAUGAAAAUUACUGAGAUAAAAACAUUUAAAUGGGUCAGUUCUUGAAUCCUGAUGAACCUUUUGAAAUCUCCAGCAAUGUUCUACUUCAACUCUGCUAUGAAGCUGGUUGGUUGGUGAGAAGAAACACAUUGCAUAUUUGCAUGUACAUUGCGCUUUUAUACAUUCUGAUGAUGUAUAUCCAGUGAUGUGGUGUUGGAAAUGAGAGCAUGGCCAUUGACUCAGUGAGUGGUUAUGGUGGUAGGUAAGUAAAAAAAAUCAGCAACUAACAUUUUCCUUUUCCAAUUUAGACGGCUCUAAACAACUACUACAAUGCUUUGAAGUUUGAAUUAUCUUAUAAGAUAUUUGAUUUCAACUGUCUGUUUUACUCGAAAUGUGAUAUUGGUUUGACCUCAAGUUGUGGUCCACAAAAGAAAAAGAAAAAUGAUAAUGGUUGUAAACCGUGUGAUGUUUUAUGAAUGAUG